UCCAGACUCCUACGGGAGGCAGCAGUGAGGAAUAUUGGUCAAUGGGCGGAAGCCUGAACCAGCCAAGUCGCGUGAGGGAAGAAGGCCCUGCGGGUCGCAGACCUCUUUGGACGGGGAGCAAGGCCGCCGACGUGUCGGCGGAAGGAGAGUACCCGUAGAACAAGCAUCGGCUAACUCCGUGCCAGCAGCCGCGGUAAUACGGAGGAUUCAAGCGUUAUCCGGAUUUAUUGGGUUUAAAGGGUGCGUAGGCGGUCGGAUAAGUUAGAGGUGAAAUCCCGAGGCUCAACUGCGGAAUUGCCUCUGAUACUGUUCGGCUAGAGAGUAGUUGCGGUAGGCGGAAUGUAUGGUGUAGCGGUGAAAUGCUUAGAGAUCAUACAGAACACCGAUUGCGAAGGCAGCUUACCAAGCUACUUCUGACGUUGAGGCACGAAAGCGUGGGGAGCAAACAGGAUUAGAUCCCCCCGUA
Molecule: ribosomal RNA, 466 nt
Filed under: uncultured bacterium
Lineage: Bacteria
Description: bacterial SSU rRNA
Rfam family: Bacterial small subunit ribosomal RNA
Source: RNAcentral